RNAcentral lists this ribosomal RNA (527 nucleotides) under uncultured bacterium. RNAcentral describes it as "bacterial SSU rRNA". It matches the Rfam family "Bacterial small subunit ribosomal RNA", at positions 981 to 1509 of the family's 1533-position model. The record is from RNAcentral.
UUGACAUCCAGAGAACUUGGCAGAGAUGCUUUGGUGCCUUCGGGAACUCUGAGACAGGUGCUGCAUGGCUGUCGUCAGCUCGUGUUGUGAAAUGUUGGGUUAAGUCCGCAACGAGCGCAACCCCUAUCCUUUGUUGCCAGCGAUUCGGUCGGGAACUCAAAGGAGACUGCCGGUGAUAAACCGGAGGAAGGUGGGGAUGACGUCAAGUCAUCAUGGCCCUUACGAGUAGGGCUACACACGUGCUACAAUGGCGCAUACAAAGAGAAGCGACCUCGCGAGAGCAAGCGGACCUCAUAAAGUGCGUCGUAGUCCGGAUCGGAGUCUGCAACUCGACUCCGUGAAGUCGGAAUCGCUAGUAAUCGUAGAUCAGAAUGCUACGGUGAAUACGUUCCCGGGCCUUGUACACACCGCCCGUCACACCAUGGGAGUGGGUUGCAAAAGAAGUAGAUAGCUUAACCUUCGGGAGGGCGUUUACCACUUUGUGAUUCAUGACUGGGGUGAAGUCGUAACAAGGUAAGCGUAGACGU